Long non-coding RNA from Cydia strobilella, 1731 nucleotides. RefSeq lists it as uncharacterized. The record is from RefSeq and is a predicted model, not a curated record. Lineage: Eukaryota; Metazoa; Arthropoda; Insecta; Lepidoptera; Tortricidae. The transcript has 2 exons.
UUCAAAGUUCAAUUACGGGUCCCUUCCUGUUUUUCCUAUACAAUAAUAUAAUUAAGUGACCAUUAAUGCAAGGGUUGAGCACCUUGGCCGCUCUGAUAUAUAAUAGCGUACAUCGUACAUGUAUGUACAUCCAUCUGUAUAGCGCACCGUCUGUCUGUCGUCGCUGACGCCGAUGAAAUACUAGUGCUGGAAAACGGCACUAUAACAGAUAGAGGGAAGCACGAUGAUCUUAUAGCCAGGAGCGGAUCGCUCUACGCAAGGCUGUGGGAGAAACAACACAGAGAAAUCAAAUGAGCUACGGGUAUGGAAGAGUAUAGAACUAUAUACAAUAUAGCGUUGUGCUUACUAAAGUACCUAUAGUUUGGCAAGCCAUUUCCGUCAGUUAGAAAAGGCGGCAAAUUUAAAAAUAGUUGGCACGAAGAGUUGUACUUGUCCUAUCAUAUAAUCUUUGAAUUGCGCGCCUUUUUCUACUGGGUAGUGGGUUUGCCAGAGUAUACUAUACAGUCAAAUGUAUUCCAAUAUUUCCAAUCAUAGACACAAGGUAGUAUUCCUUUGGCUAUGGUUUUGACGAAUGCAUACGAUUUUUUUUAACGAGGUUAUCCUUUGUAAAUAUUAUUGUAGUUUAAAAAGGAUUACAAUAGCUGAAUGAAGAAAUAUCCUGUUUAUGUAUAUAUUAUUAUUAUUCGACUUAUAUCGACCGGGAUGAUUACCUUUUGUAUUGUUUUCGAAACUAUUCAAAACUGUUAUUAUUAUUAUUAUUAUUUUAAUAUACCUCUACAACGUAUGACGAUGGUCUAGUCUUGAUAUGGUCAAGGUCUUUAAUUGCCAGCCAUUUGUGGUUUUCCAUAAGAACAGAGAAGGACCUUUUUGUCAUAAUUUCUGUUGGAAAGGACCUUAUUGCAUAUGACCUUAAAGCAUAAGGACCCUUCUUGUAAUGGAAAGCCACAUUUAUAGUUGAAGCUAAAUAAUUGUUCAAUAUUACCGCCAUGUGAUGUGUAACGAAAAGUGAACCCUCGGUGUCUUAUCAAUUAAAUCGUUCUCUCAAAUUACCAAUAAGAAGACACAACUAUUUUUUUAGUUCACUAUUAUAAAUGAUUUAAUGACAUUUUUUAACGAUAGCAGCGCCAUCUGCAUCUUUGCACGUUUAUCCUUACUAUGAUUUAAUAAUUGUAAUUAAGAACUUACGAGUAUGUGCCUGGUGCACACAAUAUGUUAAACAUUUUACCGAUGUGUAAUUUCCACAGAUGUGUUGUUUCCAAUGUAUAUUUUGUAAAUGUCCGGUUUCAUAGACAACCGAUUUAAAAAUUCAAAACUGUGUAAUUCGACCGUGUGCGUUUCAACCAAAUAAAAUCACUUUAUUUGUUUCCUUACUCAGCGUGCAUUGGUUCUUAAAAACACAUCCCUCGCAACGCAUACUCGCACACCUCUGGUCGAAACGCGCCCUAAUACUAUAGUUUGUCAAAGGACUGUCUCAUUUCAAACGUAGACAGAGAGAAUCAUACUAUCUUAGUCUUACACUAGUACUAGCAGCCAAAAGAAAAGGAUGAGUAUAGUUUUUUUGUUCUUAUUUACUGACGAUUUGGUUUGACCAACUAUAGUACAAAUUUAUAUACCUUCAAUAAAAUCAAAAUGAUCAUAGAGUUGCUUUUGUUUUUUUUUAUUCGAUUUCAAAAAGAAACAGUCAACAGGGAAUAUUACGCAAAAGUGCGUAGAGGGCGUCACUAGCUCAAU